RNAcentral lists this ribosomal RNA (2928 nucleotides) under Salmonella enterica subsp. enterica serovar Enteritidis str. EC20121744. Its description in RNAcentral is "bacterial LSU rRNA". It matches the Rfam family "Bacterial large subunit ribosomal RNA". Lineage: Bacteria; Pseudomonadati; Pseudomonadota; Gammaproteobacteria; Enterobacterales; Enterobacteriaceae. The record is from RNAcentral.
GGGUUGUGAGGUUAAGCGACUAAGCGUACACGGUGGAUGCCCUGGCAGUCAGAGGCGAUGAAGGGCGUGCUAAUCUGCGAUAAGCGCCGGUAAGGUGAUAUGAACCGUUAUAACCGGCGAUACCCGAAUGGGGAAACCCAGUGUGACUCGUCACACUAUCAUUAACUGAAUCCAUAGGUUAAUGAGGCGAACCGGGGGAACUGAAACAUCUAAGUACCCCGAGGAAAAGAAAUCAACCGAGAUUCCCCCAGUAGCGGCGAGCGAACGGGGAGGAGCCCAGAGCCUGAAUCAGCAUGUGUGUUAGUGGAAGCGUCUGGAAAGGCGCGCGAUACAGGGUGACAGCCCCGUACACAAAAGCGCAUGUGCUGUGAGCUCGAUGAGUAGGGCGGGACACGUGGUAUCCUGUCUGAAUAUGGGGGGACCAUCCUCCAAGGCUAAAUACUCCUGACUGACCGAUAGUGAACCAGUACCGUGAGGGAAAGGCGAAAAGAACCCCGGCGAGGGGAGUGAAAAAGAACCUGAAACCGUGUACGUACAAGCAGUGGGAGCACANNNNNNNNNNNNNNACUGCGUACCUUUUGUAUAAUGGGUCAGCGACUUAUAUUCUGUAGCAAGGUUAACCGAAUAGGGGAGCCGGAGGGAAACCGAGUCUUAAUUGGGCGUUAAGUUGCAGGGUAUAGACCCGAAACCCGGUGAUCUAGCCAUGGGCAGGUUGAAGGUUGGGUAACACUAACUGGAGGACCGAACCGACUAAUGUUGAAAAAUUAGCGGAUGACCUGUGGCUGGGGGUGAAAGGCCAAUCAAACCGGGAGAUAGCUGGUUCUCCCCGAAAGCUAUUUAGGUAGCGCCUCGUGAAUUCAUCUCCGGGGGUAGAGCACUGUUUCGGCUAGGGGGCCAUCCCGGCUUACCAACCCGAUGCAAACUGCGAAUACCGGAGAAUGUUAUCACGGGAGACACACGGCGGGUGCUAACGUCCGUCGUGAAGAGGGAAACAACCCAGACCGCCAGCUAAGGUCCCAAAGUCAUGGUUAAGUGGGAAACGAUGUGGGAAGGCCCAGACAGCCAGGAUGUUGGCUUAGAAGCAGCCAUCAUUUAAAGAAAGCGUAAUAGCUCACUGGUCGAGUCGGCCUGCGCGGAAGAUGUAACGGGGCUAAACCAUGCACCGAAGCUGCGGCAGCGACACUGUGUGUUGUUGGGUAGGGGAGCGUUCUGUAAGCCUGCGAAGGUGGCCUGUGAGGGUUGCUGGAGGUAUCAGAAGUGCGAAUGCUGACAUAAGUAACGAUAAAGCGGGUGAAAAGCCCGCUCGCCGGAAGACCAAGGGUUCCUGUCCAACGUUAAUCGGGGCAGGGUGAGUCGACCCCUAAGGCGAGGCCGAAAGGCGUAGUCGAUGGGAAACGGGUUAAUAUUCCCGUACUUGGUGUUACUGCGAAGGGGGGACGGAGAAGGCUAUGUUGGCCGGGCGACGGUUGUCCCGGUUUAAGCGUGUAGGUGUGUGUUCCAGGUAAAUCCGGUUCACUUUAACACUGAGGCGUGACGACGAGGCACUACGGUGCUGAAGCAACAAAUGCCCUGCUUCCAGGAAAAGCCUCUAAGCAUCAGGUAACAUCAAAUCGUACCCCAAACCGACACAGGUGGUCAGGUAGAGAAUACCAAGGCGCUUGAGAGAACUCGGGUGAAGGAACUAGGCAAAAUGGUGCCGUAACUUCGGGAGAAGGCACGCUGACACGUAGGUGAAGUGAUUUACUCAUGGAGCUGAAGUCAGUCGAAGAUACCAGCUGGCUGCAACUGUUUAUUAAAAACACAGCACUGUGCAAACACGAAAGUGGACGUAUACGGUGUGACGCCUGCCCGGUGCCGGAAGGUUAAUUGAUGGGGUCAGCGCAAGCGAAGCUCCUGAUCGAAGCCCCGGUAAACGGCGGCCGUAACUAUAACGGUCCUAAGGUAGCGAAAUUCCUUGUCGGGUAAGUUCCGACCUGCACGAAUGGCGUAAUGAUGGCCAGGCUGUCUCCACCCGAGACUCAGUGAAAUUGAACUCGCUGUGAAGAUGCAGUGUACCCGCGGCAAGACGGAAAGACCCCGUGAACCUUUACUAUAGCUUGACACUGAACAUUGAGCCUUGAUGUGUAGGAUAGGUGGGAGGCUUUGAAGUGUGGACGCCAGUCUGCAUGGAGCCGACCUUGAAAUACCACCCUUUAAUGUUUGAUGUUCUAACGUGGACCCGUUACCCGGGUUGCGGACAGUGUCUGGUGGGUAGUUUGACUGGGGCGGUCUCCUCCUAAAGAGUAACGGAGGAGCACGAAGGUUGGCUAAUCCUGGUCGGACAUCAGGAGGUUAGUGCAAUGGCAUAAGCCAGCUUGACUGCGAGCGUGACGGCGCGAGCAGGUGCGAAAGCAGGUCAUAGUGAUCCGGUGGUUCUGAAUGGAAGGGCCAUCGCUCAACGGAUAAAAGGUACUCCGGGGAUAACAGGCUGAUACCGCCCAAGAGUUCAUAUCGACGGCGGUGUUUGGCACCUCGAUGUCGGCUCAUCACAUCCUGGGGCUGAAGUAGGUCCCAAGGGUAUGGCUGUUCGCCAUUUAAAGUGGUACGCGAGCUGGGUUUAGAACGUCGUGAGACAGUUCGGUCCCUAUCUGCCGUGGGCGCUGGAGAACUGAGGGGGGCUGCUCCUAGUACGAGAGGACCGGAGUGGACGCAUCACUGGUGUUCGGGUUGUCAUGCCAAUGGCACUGCCCGGUAGCUAAAUGCGGAAGAGAUAAGUGCUGAAAGCAUCUAAGCACGAAACUUGCCCCGAGAUGAGUUCUCCCUGAGACUUAAAGUCUCCUGAAGGAACGUUGAAGACGACGACGUUGAUAGGCCGGGUGUGUAAGCGCAGCGAUGCGUUGAGCUAACCGGUACUAAUGAACCGUGAGGCUUAACCUUACAACGCCGAAG